UAGGAGUCGGACACGACUGAGCGACUUCACUUUCACUUUUCACUUUCAUGCAUUGGAGAAGGAAAUGGCAACCCACUCCAGUGUUCUUGCCUGGAGAGUCCCAGGGACGGGGGAGCCUGGUGGGCUGCCGUUUAUGGGGUCGCACAGAGUCGGACACAACUGAAGCGACUUAGCAGCAGCAAGACAUAACUAUUUAGCACAUUUAUCCCUUUGAGAAUAUGGUCAAAGCUUUGGUUCUUUAUGCAAAAAAUGCUCAUUCCACGAAUGCUCGAAUUUCUUAGAUCUUGUAAAUCUCAAUCAUAGAAGAGAUUCUAUGAACUCAGUUUAAGAAACCCUGUACAAGAUGAUCUCCAAGGUCCUUUCCAUACCUAAACAGUUCCUAUGAUUUUAUUUUAUAAUCCAGUGAAUGCUGUCUAAAAAAAUUUUUAGUAGAUAAACAAAUUGUGAUAUAUUCAUAAGUGGAUUACCAUUAGAACUAUGAGUAUGAUUAGAUUAUGAAAACAAAAGUGAAUGAAGUUCAACUGAGUAUAAUAUAUGAAUUUUACAAUAUAUGUGACUUAAACCAAUACCUUUUUAUUUACAGAUGUACUGUUUUCCUACUUUACAUAUUUUAAAUUGGAAUAUAAUUGCAUUACGGGCUUCCCAGGUGGCACUAGUGGCACUAGUGGUAAAGAAUCACAUCCGUUCUCUACGUCUGCAUCUCUAUUUCUGCCCUGCAAAUAGGUUCACAUGUACCAUUUUUCUGGAUUUCACAUAUAUAUGUUAUUAUAUGACACAAUAUUUUUUUUCUCUUUCUGACUUACUUUUCUUUCUGACUUACUCUGUAUGACAGACUCUAGGUCCAUCUCUACAAAUGACCCAAUAUACAUUUUCAUAAUAAAAUAUAAAAAUAUGGACUGGGAUGAUAUACACAACAUUCAUUAGGGGCUAGGAUGGAAUGGCUCAGAUGGUAAAGAAACUGCCUGUAAUACAGGGACCUGGCUUUGAUACCUGGGUCGGGAAGAUCCCCUGGAGAAGGGAAUGGCAACUCACUCCAGUAUUCUUGCCUGGAGAAUCCCAUGGACAGAAAAGCCUGGCGGGCUACAGUCCAUGGGGGUCCCAAAGAGUCAGACACAACUGAACAACUAACACUUUCCCUUUUUUUCACAUAGAGCAGGUCAGAAAUCACUAAAGAGGAUUUUAUAUGUUAUUUCAAAGUUUUAUAUCAAAAAAUUUUGAAGCAAAUGUGAAAAACCAUGUACAUUUUUGUUUCCAGUUUUAUUGAGAUAUAAUUACAAAAAAUUAUAUGGAUUUAAGGUGUGCAACCUGAUGUUUUAAUCAAACUAUUUACAUUAAAUUCCAGGUAGGGAUUACAUGAGUGUUUGUUACAUAAUUCUCUGACAUAUUCUACAUUCAUUUUUUCAUGGUUAAAAAUAACUCUUCCAGAACCAGUUAGUUUAAAACCAUGAAUUGUGAACAGUAUCCUAGAGAUAAUUCCUAAGGUACUAUGCUAAUGCUAAUAUCUUAAAUUUGUGCAACUUUUCAAAGUGCUUUUAAAUAUAUUAGCUCUUCUGACUCUCACAUAGACACCCUUAGAGCCAAUUAAUCUCAUUUUAUAGAACAUGUGAUCACAGAUUUAAGGAUUUUACAAAAUUAAAAAAGUUAGGGCUGGAUUUAGGACUAGAAUCGUGAUUUCCUGAUUCACAAUUCUUUCCCCUGAAACUCUCUGGCUUUUUCACUUUAUAGAAGACUACUUCCUCAGUUUCCUCAUAGUAAAGACAUUUUCAUCAUUUGAAGCCUUGUCCCCAUUUUCCUCAUGUUUGAAUUGCUUUCAAAUGGAGUUUUUCUUCUCACAAAAAGUGUUGGUUAAUAAACGGAACAUGACUUCAUUAUAAUCUAAAAUAUUGUGUUUAUAGAAUUUGGGCCAUUGAAAACUUUCCUGAAAAAGUUUCAGGAAUUUGAGAGAUCAUCUAGUCCAAAAGUAGUCUCAUUCCUACCUACCCUUUCAGUUUUAUAGGUUAAAUCAAUAAUGUCCUAAGAGAUAAAUGACAGCAAUGUCCUCAGUCAUCCCACUAAUUUGUAGAGAACUAGGUAUUAGAAACUAAAAGCCAGUUUCCUAAUCCAGUAACCUCCAUUUAUUCUCCACAUUAUUUCUUGUUUGUUAUUAUCUUCUCUUUUAUCAAAAUACAUGAGAAACCAAAAGUAUUUGGGACCCUCAUGAACUUGUUUUCUAUAUACUUAGCUGGCUGUGGUCAUAAUAUGCACUGAAGAUAAAUAUUCAUGUUAGAUAUAAAUUGCAUUAAUCAUGUGGAAUAAAAGCAUAAAAAGAAACUUGUUUCAUAGUGGGAAUACAACUAAAUUUUUUUGUUGCUGGUUUGAUGAGGAUUUUGUCAUUUUAUACUUUGUAAAGAUGUGAUGAGCAUCAGAGAUAUUGUUUCUUAUUCCCGCUGGUCCUUCUUGAACUUGCUUAUCAAGUUUAUUGCAAAAAUAAUGGGAAUUAUAAUUUAAUGCUGUGGUACUUUCUGGACUACUGGAUAACUAGACCAUUCUGGAAAAAUACUCACUAUGUCUGGGCAAUAUAGACCUUUCCAAGGAUGAAGUUUUGAAA
Long non-coding RNA from Bos taurus (domestic cattle), 2587 nucleotides. The record is from Ensembl. NCBI's taxonomy places the organism in Eukaryota, Metazoa, Chordata, Mammalia, Artiodactyla, Bovidae.